This 312-nucleotide ribosomal RNA is filed under the name uncultured bacterium. RNAcentral's name for it is "bacterial SSU rRNA". It matches the Rfam family "Bacterial small subunit ribosomal RNA", at positions 28 to 340 of the family's 1533-position model. The record is from RNAcentral.
GACGAACGCUGGCGGCGUGCUUAACACAUGCAAGUCGAGCGGUAAGGCCCUUUCGGGGGUACACGAGCGGCGAACGGGUGAGUAACACGUGGGUGACCUGCCCUCAGCUCUGGGAUAAGCCUGGGAAACUGGGUCUAAUACCGGAUAUGACUCCAUGACGCAUGUUGUGGGGUGGAAAGCCUUGUGCGGCUGAGGAUGGGCCCGCGGCCUAUCAGCUUGUUGGUGGGGUGANGGCCUACCAAGGCGACGACGGGUAGCCGGCCUGAGAGGGCGACCGGCCACACUGGGACUGAGACACGGGCCCAGACUCCU